Molecule: small RNA, 104 nt
Filed under: Marmota monax (woodchuck)
Lineage: Eukaryota; Metazoa; Chordata; Mammalia; Rodentia; Sciuridae
Source: RNAcentral
GCUGGGUGUGGUGGCGCCUGCCUGUAAUCCCAGCCAUUUGGGAGGCUGAGGCAGGAGGAUCGCAAGUCCAGGGUCAGCCUCAGCAACUUGGUGAGACCCUGCUA